Molecule: long non-coding RNA, 669 nt
Organism: Oreochromis aureus
Lineage: Eukaryota; Metazoa; Chordata; Actinopteri; Cichliformes; Cichlidae
Source: Ensembl
AGGUGUUCAUGCAGAAGUCCAGCAAAGUGAAGUCGCUGUACUGUUUUGUUUUUAUUUUAAACAGUUAUGGGAGAAUAAAUCCGCCCAGCUGGCAAAGUGAGAGCUGACUCCUCUGGUCAUUCAUACAACACAACGCAGAGAACUAACGGCAAUCAGAGUUUAAGGCCAGACCGGCUACAGUAGCACCUUUGCUCAGGUGUAAUUGGUUGCAAGUGUGGUGUAAACAAAAAAGUAUACCCACUGUCACCAAGCAAUAAUCCAGUAUGAUCUCCUCACUCAUCAAAUCCAGCUGUGCACCUAACUGCCCACAACAUAGCACUGUGGGUAAGGACCAGCACAGUCACAGCACUCGUCUCUGCACCAAGUAAUCAUAAACAUCUGCAGUGCUGAAACUACAGAAAAACAAUAUAUGUAAUAGACAAGCACUGGUUGUGAGAAAUAGUCCAGUGCUCCAGCUCAGAAAUGAACACUUCUCCAAAUCUAUCGAUGUGUUAAACAAUUUUUAGCAUUUAUAUCAUUAACACUUUUCUUCUGUACAUGGACAUUUCCACUUUUUAAACAUUUUUUUCCUGCUGUGAAAAAAUGUACUUGUGCUUCCUGAUUUCUUAGUUUUUGUGCAUAUUUGUCACACUUCCAUGUUACAGAUGAUUAAACAAAUUUUAAUAUCAG